This 468-nucleotide ribosomal RNA is filed under the name uncultured bacterium. Its description in RNAcentral is "partial 16S ribosomal RNA". It matches the Rfam family "Bacterial small subunit ribosomal RNA", at positions 28 to 507 of the family's 1533-position model. The record is from RNAcentral.
GAUGAACGCUGGCGGCGUGCUUAACACAUGCAAGUCGAACGGAAAGGCCCAAGCUUGCUUGGGUACUCGAGUGGCGAACGGGUGAGUAACACGUGGGUGAUCUGCCCUGCACUUCGGGAUAAGCCUGGGAAACUGGGUCUAAUACCGGAUAGGACCACGUCUUGGAUGUUGUGGGGGAAAGUUUUUUCGGUGUGGGAUGAGCUCGCGGCCUAUCAGCUUGUGGGUGGGGUAAUGGCCUACCAAGGCGUCGACGGGUAGCCGGCCUGAGAGGGUGUACGGCCACAUUGGGACUGAGAUACGGCCCAGACUCCUACGGGAGGCAGCAGUGGGGAAUAUUGCACAAUGGGCGCAAGCCUGAUGCAGCGACGCCGCGUGGGGGAUGACGGCCUUCGGGUUGUAAACUCCUUUCGCUAGGGACGAAGCGUUUUUGUGACGGUACCUGGAGAAGAAGCACCGGCUAACUACGUG